This is a long non-coding RNA of Sphaeramia orbicularis (orbiculate cardinalfish), 162 nucleotides long. RefSeq lists it as uncharacterized. The transcript has 3 exons. NCBI's taxonomy places the organism in Eukaryota, Metazoa, Chordata, Actinopteri, Kurtiformes, Apogonidae. The record is from RefSeq and is a predicted model, not a curated record.
ACCUCAGUAAGUAUUUAUUUUUAAAACAGACCCAAAGUGCUUCCAAACUUGCUUCAUACCAUUAGUCUACAACUGGCUGGAAUUUUUAGCCCCCAUGUCCUGUUUUUAGGACCAGUUUCAUAGAAGCACCCAAAUGACUUGACAUUUUCACCUGGACCAGCU